AGGGAAUCUUCGGCAAUGGGGGCAACCCUGACCGAGCAACGCCGCGUGAGUGAAGAAGGUUUUCGGAUCGUAAAGCUCUGUUGUAAGAGAAGAACGAGCGUGAGAGUGGAAAGUUCACACUGUGACGGUAUCUUACCAGAAAGGGACGGCUAACUACGUGCCAGCAGCCGCGGUAAUACGUAGGUCCCGAGCGUUAUCCGGAUUUAUUGGGCGUAAAGCGAGCGCAGGCGGUUAGAUAAGUCUGAAGUUAAAGGCUGUGGCUUAACCAUAGUACGCUUUGGAAACUGUUUAACUUGAGUGCAAGAGGGGAGAGUGGAAUUCCAUGUGUAGCGGUGAAAUGCGUAGAUAUAUGGAGGAACACCGGUGGCGAAAGCGGCUCUCUGGCUUGUAACUGACGCUGAGGCUCGAAAGCGUGGGGAGCAAACAGGAUUAGAUACCCUGGUAGUCCACGCCGUAAACGAUGAGUGCUAGGUGUUAGACCCUUUCCGGGGUUUAGUGCCGUAGCUAACGCAUUAAGCACUCCGCCUGGGGAGUACGACCGCAAGGUUG
This 549-nucleotide ribosomal RNA is filed under the name uncultured bacterium. RNAcentral's name for it is "bacterial SSU rRNA". It matches the Rfam family "Bacterial small subunit ribosomal RNA", at positions 356 to 896 of the family's 1533-position model. The record is from RNAcentral.